AUACGGAGGAUGCGAGCGUUAUCCGGAUUUAUUGGGUUUAAAGGGUGCGUAGGCUGUGCGUUAAGUCAGGGGUGAAAUGCCGUCGCUCAACGACGGAGCUGCCCUUGAUACUGGCGUGCUGGAGUACGGAUGCCGUUGGUGGAAUGAGUGGUGUAGCGGUGAAAUGCUUAGAUAUCACUCAGAACACCGAUUGCGAAGGCAUCUGACGAAUCCGUCACUGACGCUGAGGCACGAAAGCGUGGGGAUAGAACAGGAUUAGAUACUCUGGUAUUCCACGCCGUAAACGAUGAUGACUAACCGUCGGCGAUAGACAGCCGGUGGCCAAGCGAAAGCGAUAAGUCAUCCACCUGGGGAGUACGUCGGCAACGAUGAAACUCAAAUGAAUUGACGGGG
RNAcentral lists this ribosomal RNA (393 nucleotides) under uncultured bacterium. RNAcentral's name for it is "partial 16S ribosomal RNA". It matches the Rfam family "Bacterial small subunit ribosomal RNA", at positions 523 to 918 of the family's 1533-position model. The record is from RNAcentral.